GAUGAACGCUGGCGGCGUGCCUAAUACAUGCAAGUCGAGCGAACGGACGAGAAGCUGGCGUCUCUGAUGUUAGCGGCGGACGGGAGAGUAACACGUGGAUAACCUACCUAUAAGACUGGGAUAACUACGGGAGACCGGAGCUAAUACCGGAUAAUAUUUUGAACCGCAUGGGUCAAGAGUAAAAGACGGUCGUUCGGUCACUUAUAGAUGGCUCAGCCCUGCAUUAGCUUGUUGGUAAGGUAACGGCUUACCAAGGCAACGAUGCAUAGCCGACCUCAGAGGGUGGUCGCCCACCCUGGAACUGAGGCUCGGUCGCGACUCCUGGACGGGGCCGCGGUACGGACUCUUCCGCGAUGCAGGAGUGCCUAACGUAGGAACGCCGCGUGAGUGCUGAUGGUGUACGGAUCGUAGAACUCUGUUAUUAUGAGGGUACAUAUGUGUAAUUAACCGUGAACAUAUUGACGGUACCUAAUCAGAAAGCCCCGGCUAACUCCGUG
This 497-nucleotide ribosomal RNA is filed under the name uncultured bacterium. RNAcentral's name for it is "partial 16S ribosomal RNA". It matches the Rfam family "Bacterial small subunit ribosomal RNA", at positions 28 to 507 of the family's 1533-position model. The record is from RNAcentral.